This 265-nucleotide signal recognition particle RNA is filed under the name Oscillospiraceae bacterium. RNAcentral describes it as "signal recognition particle sRNA large type". It matches the Rfam family "Bacterial large signal recognition particle RNA". Rfam says of the family: The signal recognition particle (SRP) is a universally conserved ribonucleoprotein involved in the co-translational targeting of proteins to membranes. Archaeal SRP consists of a 7S RNA and homologues of the eukaryotic SRP19 and SRP54 proteins. The record is from RNAcentral. Lineage: Bacteria; Bacillati; Bacillota; Clostridia; Eubacteriales; Oscillospiraceae.
UCGUACAGCCGGGGCGGUAGCGGUGCCCUGUACUUGCAAUCCGCUAUAGCAAGGGUUAUGUCUAACUUGAGGGUUAGUCUUUGUGUGGUCAGUGCCGGAUAAGUGGUGUUGAGAAUUGGGUCUUGUGCAAUACAAGGUUGUGAACCGGGUCAGGUGAGGAAUCAAGCAGCUCUAAGCAAUUUUUUUGUAUGUGACGCAAGGCACCCCAAUUUGAGCUAACUGUUUGGUAACGCAUGGAAAGUUAAUUCGAUUUUUAGGCGUACGA